AGAACGAACGCUGGCGGCAGGCCUAACACAUGCAAGUCGAACGGGGUAGCAAUACUCUAGUGGCAGACGGGUGAGUAACACGUGGGAACCUUCCUUUUAGUAUGGAAUAGCCCGGCGAAAGCCGGAUUAAUACCGUAUACGCCCUAUGGGGGAAAUAUUUAUCGCUAAAAGAUGGGCCCGCGUAAGAUUAGCUAGUUGGUGAGGUAAUGGCUCACCAAGGCUACGAUCUUUAGCUGGUUUGAGAGAAUGAUCAGCCACACUGGAACUGAGACACGGUCCAGACUCCUACGGGAGGCAGCAGUGGGGAAUAUUGGACAAUGGGCGCAAGCCUGAUCCAGCCAUGCCGCGUGAAUGAUGAAGGCCUUCGGGUUGUAAAGUUCUUUUAGUGGAGAAAAUAAUGAUGGUAUCCACAAGAAAAGCCCGGCUAACUUCGUGCCAGCAGCCGC
This 446-nucleotide ribosomal RNA is filed under the name uncultured bacterium. Its description in RNAcentral is "SSU rRNA". It matches the Rfam family "Bacterial small subunit ribosomal RNA", at positions 26 to 518 of the family's 1533-position model. The record is from RNAcentral.